Molecule: unclassified non-coding RNA, 305 nt
Filed under: plant metagenome
Description: partial contains 5.8S ribosomal RNA, internal transcribed spacer 2, and large subunit ribosomal RNA
Rfam family: 5.8S ribosomal RNA (bases 1-105)
Source: RNAcentral
GAAAUGCGAUAAGUAAUGUGAAUUGCAGAAUUCAGUGAAUCAUCGAAUCUUUGAACGCACAUUGCCCCCGCCAGUAUUCUGGCGGGCAUGCCUGUUCGAGCGUCAUUUCAACCAUCAAGCCCCCGGCUUGUGUUGGGGACCUGCGGCUGCCCGCAGGCCCUGAAAAACAGUGGCGGGCUCGCUGUCACACCGAGCGUAGUAGCAUACAUUCUCGCUCAGGGCGUGCUGCGGGUUCCGGCCGUUAAACGACCUUCAUAACCCAAGGUUGACCUCGGAUCAGGUAGGAAGACCCGCUGAACUUAAGC